RNAcentral lists this ribosomal RNA (465 nucleotides) under Vreelandella stevensii. RNAcentral describes it as "partial 16S ribosomal RNA". It matches the Rfam family "Bacterial small subunit ribosomal RNA", at positions 338 to 795 of the family's 1533-position model. Lineage: Bacteria; Pseudomonadati; Pseudomonadota; Gammaproteobacteria; Oceanospirillales; Halomonadaceae. The record is from RNAcentral.
CCUACGGGUGGCAGCAGUGGGGAAUAUUGGACAAUGGGGGGAACCCUGAUCCAGCCAUGCCGCGUGUGUGAAGAAGGCCCUCGGGUUGUAAAGCACUUUCAGUGAGGAAGAACGCCUGGUGGUUAAUACCCAUCAGGAAAGACAUCACUCACAGAAGAAGCACCGGCUAACUCCGUGCCAGCAGCCGCGGUAAUACGGAGGGUGCGAGCGUUAAUCGGAAUUACUGGGCGUAAAGCGCGCGUAGGUGGCUUGAUAAGCCGGUUGUGAAAGCCCCGGGCUCAACCUGGGAACGGCAUCCGGAACUGUCAAGCUAGAGUGCAGGAGAGGAAGGUAGAAUUCCCGGUGUAGCGGUGAAAUGCGUAGAGAUCGAGAGGAAUACCAGUGGCGAAGGCGGCCUUCUGGACUGACACUGACACUGAGGUGCGAAAGCGUGGGUAGCAAACAGGAUUAGAUACCCCUGUAGUC